This 253-nucleotide unclassified non-coding RNA is filed under the name uncultured Parcubacteria group bacterium. Its description in RNAcentral is "contains 16S-23S intergenic spacer region". It matches the Rfam family "Bacterial small subunit ribosomal RNA", at positions 524 to 776 of the family's 1533-position model. The record is from RNAcentral.
UACGAGUGCCCCAAGCGUUGUCCGGAAUUAUUGGGCGUAAAGGGUGUGUAGGCGGUCAUAUUAGUCUUUCGUUAAAGCCCGGGGCCUAACCUCGGAAUCGCGGGAGAAACGGUAUGACUCGAGGGCGCAAGAGGUCUACGGAACUCACGGUGUAGGGGUGAAAUCCGUUGAUAUCGUGGGGAACACCAAAAGCGAAGGCAGUAGACUGGUGCGUUCCUGACGCUGAAACACGAAAGCCAGGGUAGCGAAUGGG